AUGAACAAGAAUCUUGGUAAGAGAACUGCUGAAGCUUGUGGAAAUGAUCCUCAGCGCAAGCGACUACAUGCGAGGGAUGUUCAUACUGGUAGACGCAAAGACUGUGGUCCAUCUAAGAGUCUACCCAAGCGUGCCCAUGAUGAUGGCAAUGAAUGUGUUGGUGCUGACUCUGGCGAGGAGGCGGAUCUUGUUCCAAAGAGGAAGAAGUCUAGUAAGAGCAAUGCAACUAAAGAUUAUGCCGAGGGAGAUGAUUCUCGAUUUAACAAGACCGUACAUUUGUCGCUUCCCAUUGUUUGCAAGGCUGCUGCUUUAUUGAAAGCCGCACACUGUAGUCGUGUUCAGGAUGUUGGAUUCGGUGUUGUCUUUGAACUGACAGUAAAGAAAAUGUGUCGCGCAUUCUUAUGUGCUAUCUGA
RNAcentral lists this ribosomal RNA (414 nucleotides) under Triticum aestivum (bread wheat). RNAcentral describes it as "partial small subunit ribosomal RNA". Lineage: Eukaryota; Viridiplantae; Streptophyta; Magnoliopsida; Poales; Poaceae. The record is from RNAcentral.